UACAGAGGGGGCAAGCGUUAUUCGGAAUUAUUGGGCGUAAAGGGCGCGUAGGCGGCUUGGCAAGUGGAAGGUGAAAUCCCUCGGCUUAACCGAGGAACUGCCCUCCAAACUGCUUCGCUUGAGACCGGGAGAGGUGAGUGGAAUUCCCAGUGUAGCGGUGAAAUGCGUAGAUAUUGGGAGGAACACCAGUGGCGAAGGCGGCUCACUGGACCGGUACUGACGCUGAGGCACGAAGGCCAGGGGAGCAAACGGG
Molecule: ribosomal RNA, 253 nt
Filed under: uncultured bacterium
Lineage: Bacteria
Description: partial 16S ribosomal RNA
Rfam family: Bacterial small subunit ribosomal RNA
Source: RNAcentral